GCCCCUUUAGUUAAGUGGUAUAAUGCACCCUUGGUAUGGGUGAGUGGGCAGUUCAAUUCUGCCAUGGGGCA
Molecule: transfer RNA, 71 nt
Filed under: Jeotgalibacillus malaysiensis
Lineage: Bacteria; Bacillati; Bacillota; Bacilli; Caryophanales; Caryophanaceae
Description: tRNA-Thr (GGT) (tRNA-Thr-GGT-2-1)
Rfam family: tRNA
About the family: Transfer RNA (tRNA) molecules are approximately 80 nucleotides in length.
Source: RNAcentral